RNA transcript from Nyctereutes procyonoides (raccoon dog), 4532 nucleotides. It is a transcript of the gene named cyclin B3, with no coding region annotated. The transcript is spliced from 14 exons. Lineage: Eukaryota; Metazoa; Chordata; Mammalia; Carnivora; Canidae. The record is from RefSeq and is a predicted model, not a curated record.
AGCACAGGCCGGUUUGAGGAGGACACGGGUCACUACAACACGGAGCUCCGUUCAUUUUCCGGGCCUCUCCUGGUCUAGGAGUGCAGAGCGUCCAUGAUCUUUCCUGUUCUGUCCUCAAUCUUGAUGUGAGCUCUAUCUUGGAUAGAUACUGCCAAACCUGUGAGAUGCCACUGCCACUACCAUCCCGAAGCUCCAAACCUGAGACUAAGAAAUCUCGGUCCAGCAAAAUUGUGCCCAGUGGUAAUGGCCAAUCCGAAAAGAGAGGGGAGAAUUAUCAAGAAAAGAUAUCUUCAUCUUCACCUAGAAGACUAUGCAAAAAAAGAUCAGCUUUUGAAGAUCUCACCAAUGCUUCUCAAAGUCAACCUGCCCAGCUCAAGAAGGAAGCCAAUAAGGAGUUUGUUAAAGAUGUUCCCAAGAAGAUAAAAGGGAAAACACCUGCUCUUGGUUUGGCCAAAAGCAAUGAGGUGAAUAUGGUAAGUUAUAAGCUGGAAUCCUCACCAGUAGUAGUCUCUACUACCUUGGUACCAAAUAUUACAGAGAAACCACUCAUUCUGGAGAGAUCUACCACCUCCGGAACAAUCACCACUGAGGAGGCAUCAUUUUUCAGAAAGCCAUUAAUUUUAAAAGAGGAAUCCAGUACUGAGGACACAGGCCUUAUCAAGAGAUCAUUGUUUUUAAAGAAGUUCACAAAUAAGGGAGAGAUAUCCCUCAUGGAGAAACCAACAUCUGUACAGGAAGAGGCUGACAGCAAUGAUGAGUUUGUUGUAAAGCUGAUCACUUUUGGGAAGAAGCAUAAAACUGAGGAGGUAGCCAUCACCAAAGGAACAUUAUCCUUAAAGAAGAUGUGCACAUAUCAGGAGGACUUGGCUUUGCAAGACAUCGCUGUUGAAGAGAAUUCCUUCUUUAUGGAACCAACAAACUUCAGAAAGAAGCCUAAAACAGAUGAUGUAACCGCCACCAAGAAGAUGUUAUCUUUAAAGAAGAAGAAGUAUAUCACUCCGGGGAAGGUGUCCCGUAUGAAGAAACCACUAGUAUUGCAGAAGACCAACUCUGAAGAGGAGUCCCCCCUCAUUAAGGAGCCACUGGCUUUCAAGAAGAAACCUACCAAGAAGGAGACAGCCUUCACCUUGAGGCCAUUAUCUUUAAAGAAGUGUACUACUCAGGGGAAGAUGGCUCACUUGAAAAAGCCAUUAGAAUCCCAGAACACCUCUGGAGAGAAGGCACUCAUUAAGGAGCCAUUGUCUUUUAAAAAGAAGCCUAUCACUAAGGAGGAGUCUCUCUUCCAGGAGUUUUCUGCAUUGCAAGAGAAGCACACCACUGAUAGGGAGGUGGUCCUCUUGAAGAAGCCACAGGUACUGCAGGAGGAGAAAGACAGUAAGGAUAAAUUUCUUAUGGAGCCAGUGUUCCUUAGGAAGAAAUGUACUACCAAGGAGACAAACCCCACCAAGAAGCCGUUACCUAUAAAGAAGAAGUGUACCAUUCAGGGGAAGAUGUACUACUUGAAGAAGCCACUAGUAUUGCAAAAGACAACCCCUGGAGAGGAGUCAUUUGUUAAGGAGCCACUGCCCUUUAAGAAGAGCACCACUGAGGAGUCCCUUUUCCAUGAGCCAUCCAUGUUGCAAGAGAAGCACACCACUCAGGAGGAGGUGUCUGUCUUGAAGAAGGCCUUGACCUUGCAGAAGACACUAACUGAGGAGGAGUCACAUUUAAAGGAGCCUUUGGCUUUUAAGAAGAAACGUACCACUGAGGAGGCAACCCCCACCAAGAAGCUAUCAUCUCUGAAGAGGAAAAGGUGUACUGCUCAGGGUAAGAGGUCCUGCUUGAUGAAGCCACUAGUAUUGCAGACCUCCUCUGGAGAGAAGACACACAUUAAGGAGCCAUUGUCCUUUAAAAAGAGGUCCGCCAUUGAGGAGGAGUCUUUCUUUAAGGAAUCACCUGUGUUGCAAGAGAAACAUACCAUGCAGGGGGAGGUGGCCCUUUUGGAGAAGCCAGGGGCAUUGCAGGAGAAUGUCAGUAGUGAAGAUGAAUUUCUUAUGGAACCAAUUUCCUUUAGGAAGAAACAUACCACAAAUGAGGUGGUCUCUACCAAGGAGCCUUUAUCUUUAAAGAAGAAGAAGUGUUCCACUCAAAUAAUGAUGUCCAUCUGCCAAGAACUGUUGGACUUGCAGAAUAUAAUUAGCAAAGAUAAGGCUUCCUUCUUUAUGGAGCCAGUGUCACUUAGGGAGAAGUCUUUAGCUGAGGAGGUAAUCCUUACCAAGACACCAUUAUCUUUAAAGAAAAAGGAAAUCACUCAGGGGAAGAUAUUCCUCUUAAAGAAGCCACUGGUCUCAGAGAAGACCACCUCUGAAGAAGAGUCACUAUUUAAGAAGCUAUUGCCCUUUAAUAAAAAGUCUACAACUGAAGGGGAGUUCCUCUUCCAGGAUCCAUCAGUACUGCAAGAGAAGCAUACCACUCCACAGGAGGUGUCCCUCUCAACUAAGCCAUUGACCUUGCCAGAAAAGACCACCACUGAAGAAGAGCCCUAUAUUAAGGAACCAUUGACCUUAGAGGAGAGGCCUACUACUGAGGAGGAAUUCCUUUCUCAGGAGCCAUUUUCAUUGUGUGCUAAACCUGCCAACAAACAUGAAUCCCUCUUCUGGAAGGCUUUGGGCUUGCAAAAGACUCAAACCAAGGAGGACUCCUUGAAGAAGCUGUUGACUUUGCAGGAGAAAAACACUACUGAUGAGGAAUCCCUUUUAAAUAAGCCAUCAAUUCUGAAGGAGGAGCUUUCCACUAAAGUGGCAACAAGCAUUGAGAAGGAAUUAUCUUUAAAGAAGAAACCCACUGCUCAGGGGGAGGUAUUCCUCUUGAAGAAGCAGUUGGCCUUGCAGGAGAACAUUACCAAUGAAGAAUCCCUUAUUAAACAGCCACUGGCUUUUCUGAAGCCCAGCAUUGAGGAGGCCAUCCUAAGGGAGUCCUUGGCCUUGCAGGAGAAGCCCAGAAGUGAGGAGGAGACCCUUUUCAAGGAGCCAUUGUCCUUUCAGGAGAAACCUACCCUCAAUGAAGCAUUCCAUUUCAAGGAGAUAAUUUCCUUGAAUGAGAAACACAGCACUGGGAAGGAGUUGUCUUUGAAGGAGCCAUUGGCCUUGCAAGAGAAUCCCACCCAAAAGGAAGAUAACUCUCUUGAAGAUUCCUUGAUCCUCCAAGUUGAAACCAGCUCAUGUGUGCCCAGCACUCCUCCUGUAUCCAGAGCAGGCAUGUCCAAUGUGGGCAAGUUGAGUACCACAAGCAAGUCCAGUGUUUGUGAAUCCAGUUCCAAUAAACCUUCCUCAUCUUGGGGCAAGAGCUCACAGAAGGAGAUGACCCCAUUGGAGGAUAUUGACAGGAACCACGGUGAUCCAUUUUUCAACUCAAUAUAUGCCAAGGAUAUCUUCAGUUACAUGAAGGAGAGAGAGGAAAAGUUCAUACUUAAAGAAUACAUGAACAAGCAGACUGACAUCAAUAGUUGCAUGAGGGCCAUUCUUGUGGACUGGUUGGUAGAGGUGCAGAUGACCUUUGAGAUGAGUCACGAGACCCUGUACUUGGCAGUAAAACUGGUGGAUCACUACCUUAUGGAGGUAAUAUGCAAGAGGGAUAAGCUACAACUCCUUGGUUCCACUGCAUUUCUGAUUGCAGCAAAAUUUGAGGAGCCCUGCCCACCCUGUGUGGAUGACUUCCUAUAUAUCUGUGAUGAUAUUUAUCAGCGACAUGAAAUGCUCAGCAUGGAAAUCAGCAUCCUGCAAACUCUUAAAUUUGAUAUCAACAUUCCCAUCGCCUAUCAUUUCUUGCGCAGAUAUGCUAGGUGUCUCCAUGCCAGCAUGAAGACACUGACUUUGUCCCGCUUCAUCUGUGAGAUGACUCUGCAGGAAUACGACUAUGUCCAGGAGAAGGCUUCCAAGCUAGCUGCUGGCUCCUUCCUCCUGGCCCUCUACAUGAUGAAGCUCAGAUACUGGGUUCCUGCCCUGGAGUAUUACAGUGGCUAUAAGACCUCUGAUCUUCACCCCUUGGUCAAGCAGCUAAACAUCCUGCUGACAUUGCGUCCUUCCAAUAAGCUCAAGACUGUGUAUUCCAAGUAUUCUCACCAGGUCUUCUUCGAAGUCACCAAAAUACCUCCCUUGGACAUGUUGAAGCUAGAGGAGAUUUUGAACUACUGCUAAUUCUGAGGCUGAGGAUCUGGCACUCUGGCAGCAACCACCAGGUUAUCGGUCUGUUCAAAUUUUCUAUUUUUCCUGUUUCAGUUUUGAUGUUUUCCUGUGGUUGACUUCCAGUUUCAUAGCAUUGUGGUCAGAAAAGAUGCAUGGUAUGACUUUGAUCUUCUUGAAUUUGUAGAGGCCUGUUUUGUGCCCUAAUAUGUGAUCUGUUCUGGAGAAUGUUCUAUAUACCCUUGAAAAGAAUAUAUUCUGCUGUUUUAGGAUGGAAUGUUCUUUUUUAUUUUUGGAAUGUUCUUAAUAUAUCUGUUAAGUCCAUUUGUCCCCAUGUGUCAUUCAAAGCCAUUAUUUCAUUUUCUGUUUAAA